This 465-nucleotide ribosomal RNA is filed under the name uncultured bacterium. Its description in RNAcentral is "partial 16S ribosomal RNA". It matches the Rfam family "Bacterial small subunit ribosomal RNA", at positions 28 to 507 of the family's 1533-position model. The record is from RNAcentral.
GACGAACGCUGGCGGCGUGCUUAACACAUGCAAGUCGAACGGAAAGGCCCCUUUGGGGGUACUCGAGUGUCGAACGGGUGAGUAACACGUGAGUAACCUGCCCUUGACUUCGGGAUAACUUCAGUAAACUGGGGCUAAUACCGGAUAGGAAUCCUUGCUGCAUGGUGGGGGUUGGAAAGCUUCGGCGGUUUUGGAUGGACUCGCUGCUUAUCAGCUUGUUGGUGGGGUAGUGGCUUACCAAGGCUUUGACGGGUAGCCGGCCUGAGAGGGCGACCGGCCACAUUGGGACUGAGAUACGGCCCAGACUCCUACGGGAGGCAGCAGUGGGGAAUAUUGCACAAUGGGCGGAAGCCUGAUGCAGCAACGCCGCGUGCGGGAUGACGGCCUUCGGGUUGUAAACCGCGUUCAGCAGGGGCGAAGCUUGUGGUGACGGUACCUGCAGAAGAAGCACCGGCUAACUACGUG